RNAcentral lists this ribosomal RNA (253 nucleotides) under uncultured bacterium. RNAcentral describes it as "partial 16S ribosomal RNA". It matches the Rfam family "Bacterial small subunit ribosomal RNA", at positions 524 to 776 of the family's 1533-position model. The record is from RNAcentral.
GACAGAGGGGGCCAGCGUUGCUCGGAAUCACUGGGCGUAAAGAGCGCGCAGGCGGUCGAUCAAGUCGAGUGUGAAAGCCCCCGGCUCAACUGGGGAGGGUCAUUCGAUACUGAUCGACUCGAAGGCAGGAGAGGGUAGUGGAAUUCCCGGUGUAGUGGUGAAAUGCGUAGAUAUCGGGAGGAACACCAGUGGCGAAGGCGACUCCCUGGCCUGUUCUUGACGCUGAGGCGCGAAAGCUAGGGGAGCAAACGGG